UACGGAGGGUGCAAGCGUUGUCCGGAAUUAUUGGGCGUAAAGAGCUCGUAGGCGGUUUGUCGCGUCUGCUGUGAAAACGCGAGGCUCAACCUCGCGCCUGCAGUGGGUACGGGCAGACUAGAGUGCGGUAGGGGAGAUUGGAAUUCCUGGUGUAGCGGUGGAAUGCGCAGAUAUCAGGAGGAACACCGAUGGCGAAGGCAGAUCUCUGGGCCGUAACUGACGCUGAGGAGCGAAAGCGUGGGGAGCGAACAGG
Molecule: ribosomal RNA, 253 nt
Filed under: uncultured bacterium
Lineage: Bacteria
Description: partial 16S ribosomal RNA
Rfam family: Bacterial small subunit ribosomal RNA
Source: RNAcentral